UUUACACAUGCAAGUCGAACGGAAACUUAUGUUUUCGUGGCGAACGGGUGAGUAUAUGCAGAAUUUUUCCUUUCAGUUCAGAACAAAAAUUUCUUUUUAGAAAUUAAAUUCUGAAUAGUUUUAAAGGCUUACAUAUAGUAAUCCGCUGAAAGAUAAAUCUGUUAAAGAUUAGGUUGUUGGUAAUCUAAAAGCUUACCAAGCCGAUGAUCUUUAGUUGGUCUUAGAGGAUGAUCAACCACACUGGAACUGAAAUAAGGUCCAGGCUGACAUGUCGGCCAGCAGUGAGGAAUAUUGGACAAUGAACGAAAGUUUGAUCCAGCAAUACUAACUGGGUGAUGACGGCUUAUUUAAGUUGUAAGAUCCUUUGAUUAAAGAAGAUAAUGACAUUAUUUAAUUGAAUUAGUCCUGGCUAAUACUCGUGCCAGCAGCCGCGGUAAUACGGGAAGGGCAAGCGUUAUCCGGCAUGACUGGGCGUAAAGAGUCCGUAGACUGUAAAGUAAGUUUCUUGUUAAAUUUUAAAAACUUAAUUUUAAAACAGCAAUUAAUACUGCUUUACUUUGAGUUUAAUACAGAAAAGUA
This 579-nucleotide ribosomal RNA is filed under the name uncultured bacterium. Its description in RNAcentral is "bacterial SSU rRNA". It matches the Rfam family "Bacterial small subunit ribosomal RNA", at positions 48 to 663 of the family's 1533-position model. The record is from RNAcentral.